UGGGGAAUAUUGCACAAUGGGCGCAAGCCUGAUGCAGCCAUGCCGCGUGUGUGAAGAAGGCCUCCGGGUUGUAAAGCACUUUCAGCGGGGAGGAAGGCGAUAAGGUUAAUAACCUUGUCGAUUGACGUUACCCGCAGAAGAAGCACCGGCUAACUCCGUGCCAGCAGCCGCGGUAAUACGGAGGGCGCAAGCGUUAAUCGGAAUUACUGGGGGUAAAGCGCACGCAGGCGGUCUGUCAAGUCGGAUGUGAAAUCCCCGGGCUCAACCUGGGACCUGCAUGUGAAACUGGCAGGCUAGAGUCUUGUAGAGGGGGGUAGAAUUCCAGGUGUAGCGGUGAAAUGCGUAGAGAUCUGGAGGAAUACCGGUGGCGAAGGCGGCCCCCUGAACAAAGACUGACGCUCAGGUGCGAAAGCGUGGGGAGCAAACAGG
This 429-nucleotide ribosomal RNA is filed under the name Chloroflexota bacterium. RNAcentral describes it as "Chloroflexi bacterium partial 16S ribosomal RNA". It matches the Rfam family "Bacterial small subunit ribosomal RNA", at positions 355 to 776 of the family's 1533-position model. Lineage: Bacteria; Bacillati; Chloroflexota. The record is from RNAcentral.